AAUAGAUACCCUGGUAGUCCACGCCGUAAACGUUGGAUACUAGGUGUGGCGGUCUUACCAACGACUGCCGUGCCGAAGCUAACGCAUUAAGUAUCCCGCCUGGGGAGUACGGCCGCAAGGCUAAAACUCAAAGGAAUUGACGGGUCCCCGCACAAGCGGCGGAGCAUGCGGCUUAAUUCGAUGCAACCCGAAGAACCUUACCUGGGUUUGACAUCACGGGAAAAGCUGUAGAAAUACAGUGUCCAUUAGGGCCCGUGACAGGUGGUGCAUGGCUGUCGUCAACUCGUGUCGUGAGAUGUUGGGUUAAGUCCCGCAACGAGCGCAACCCUUGUCCUAUGUUGCCAGCGGUUCGGCCGGGGACUCAUAGGAGACUGCCGGGGAUAACUCGGAGGAAGGUGAGGACGACGUCAAGUCAUCAUGCCCCUUAUAUCCAGGGCUGCACGCAUGCUACAAUGGCCGGUACAACGGGCAGCGAUCCCGCGAGGGUGAGCGAAUCCUAGAAAGCCGGUCCUAGUUCGGAUUGAAGUCUGCAACUCGACUU
Molecule: ribosomal RNA, 541 nt
Filed under: uncultured bacterium
Lineage: Bacteria
Description: bacterial SSU rRNA
Rfam family: Bacterial small subunit ribosomal RNA
Source: RNAcentral